RNAcentral lists this ribosomal RNA (130 nucleotides) under Vibrio alginolyticus. Its description in RNAcentral is "partial 23S ribosomal RNA". It matches the Rfam family "Bacterial large subunit ribosomal RNA", at positions 1 to 129 of the family's 2925-position model. Lineage: Bacteria; Pseudomonadati; Pseudomonadota; Gammaproteobacteria; Vibrionales; Vibrionaceae. The record is from RNAcentral. RNAcentral also lists the same sequence under 1 other name.
GGUUAAGUGACUAAGCGUACACGGUGGAUGCCUUGGCAGUCAGAGGCGAUGAAGGACGUAUUAACUUGCGAUAAGCCCAGAUUAGGUAGUAAAAACCAUUUGAGUCUGGGAUUUCCGAAUGGGGAAACCC